GGGUCCUGUAGCUCAGUUGGUUAGAGCGCUGCACCGGAAUUGCUGCAGGUUCGAUUCAUGCAGGUUCGAUUCCUGCCACUUG
This is a non-coding RNA of Paramuricea clavata, 82 nucleotides long. The record is from the annotation of a GenBank genome assembly. Lineage: Eukaryota; Metazoa; Cnidaria; Anthozoa; Malacalcyonacea; Plexauridae.